This 526-nucleotide ribosomal RNA is filed under the name uncultured Archaeosporaceae. Its description in RNAcentral is "SSU rRNA". It matches the Rfam family "Eukaryotic small subunit ribosomal RNA", at positions 569 to 1092 of the family's 1831-position model. The record is from RNAcentral. Lineage: Eukaryota; Fungi; Glomeromycota; Glomeromycetes; Archaeosporales; Archaeosporaceae.
AGCAGCCGCGGUAAUUCCAGCUCCAAUAGCGUAUAUUAAAGUUGUUGCAGUUAAAAAGCUCGUAGUUGAAUUUUGGAUUCUGCCAAUUGGUCCAUCUUUUAGAUGAGUACUGGUUGUGUGGGGUCUAUCCGCCUGGUGAUACGUAAUGUCCUUUAUUGGAUGUUGCGGGUAGUCAGGACCUUUACCUUGAAAAAAUUAGAGUGUUUAAAGCAGGCAUUUUUGCUCGAAUACAUUAGCAUGGAAUAAUAGAAUAGGACGGCAUGGUUCUAUUUUGUUGGUUUCUAGGAUCACCGUAAUGAUUAAUAGGGAUAGUUGGGGGCAUUAGUAUUCAAUUGUCAGAGGUGAAAUUCUUGGAUUUAUUGAAGACUAACUACUGCGAAAGCAUUUGCCAAGGAUGUUUUCAUUAAUCAAGAACGAAAGUUAGGGGAUCGAAGACGAUCAGAUACCGUCGUAGUCUUAACCAUAAACUAUGCCGACUAGGAAUCAGACGAUGUUAAUUUUUUAAUGACUCGUUUGGCACCUUACG